This 157-nucleotide ribosomal RNA is filed under the name Rossellomorea vietnamensis. Its description in RNAcentral is "Bacillus vietnamensis partial 23S ribosomal RNA". It matches the Rfam family "Bacterial large subunit ribosomal RNA", at positions 1 to 154 of the family's 2925-position model. Lineage: Bacteria; Bacillati; Bacillota; Bacilli; Caryophanales; Bacillaceae. The record is from RNAcentral.
UUCGGUUAAGUUAUGAAGGGCGCACGGUGGAUGCCUUGGCACUAGGAGCCGACGAAGGACGGGACUAACACCGAUAUGCUUUGGGGAGCUGUAAGUGAGCUUUGAUCCAGAGAUUUCCGAAUGGGGGAACCCAUUGUUCGUAAUGGAACAAUAUCCU